This 229-nucleotide ribosomal RNA is filed under the name uncultured bacterium. RNAcentral describes it as "partial 16S ribosomal RNA". It matches the Rfam family "Bacterial small subunit ribosomal RNA", at positions 568 to 796 of the family's 1533-position model. The record is from RNAcentral.
UCCGUAGGCGGACUAAUAAGUCAGGGGUGAAAUCCAACAGCUUAACUGUUGAACUGCCUUUGAUACUGUUAGUCUUGAAUUAUAUGGAAGUAGAUAGAAUGUGUAGUGUAGCGGUGAAAUGCUUAGAGAUUACACAGAAUACCGAUUGCGAAGGCAGUCUACUACGUAUAUAUUGACGCUAAUGGACGAAAGCGUAGGGAGCGAACAGGAUUAGAUACCCUGGUAGUCC